GUUCAUAUGUAAUAUGGCUGACAGUGUUGACAACGUGUGCAGUCAUUAACAAGUGGUAUACAUUAUCAAUACUAAAUAGAUAUCUCAUGCCGUAUACUAUUAUCAAGUUUUGUUUUGGUUACAUUGGAUGUCGUCUACUACAGUGAACUGAGCGGUUCAAACUGUUAGCCAUUCACGCUAUUGUUGUACAUAUAAUGGUGAGAUAUUACUAAAUAGUUUUCUCAUGUUGUAUCAAGCAAUGGAUAUGUUAGACAUCGGGUCGUCUACUACAGUGAACUGAGCGGUUCAAACUUACUAAAUAUAUCUCAUGCCGUAUUGACUACUCAACGAUAUAUCAAGUAAUGGAUAUAUUAGAUAUUGGAUGUCGUCGACUAGUGAACUAAGCGGUUAAAUUGCAAACUGUAAUUAGUUGUUAGAACC
Oppia nitens is the source of this 420-nucleotide long non-coding RNA. RefSeq lists it as uncharacterized. The transcript has 4 exons. Lineage: Eukaryota; Metazoa; Arthropoda; Arachnida; Sarcoptiformes; Oppiidae. The record is from RefSeq and is a predicted model, not a curated record.